GCUUACACAUGCAAGUCGAACGGAAAGGCUCCAGCUUGCUGGAGUACUCGAGUGGCGAACGGGUGAGUAACACGUGGGUAAUCUGCCCUGCACUCUGGGAUAAGCCUGGGAAACUGGGUCUAAUACUGGAUAUGACCUUUCUCCUUAUGGGGUUUGGUGGAAAGUUUUUCGGUGUAGGAUGAGCCCGCGGCCUAUCAGCUUGUUGGUGGGGUGAUGGCCUACCAAGGCGACGACGGGUAGCCGGCCUGAGAGGGUGAUCGGCUACAUUGGGACUGAGAUACGGCCCAGACUCCUACGGGAGGCAGCAGUGGGGAAUAUUGCACAAUGGGCGGAAGCCUGAUGCAGCGACGCCGCGUGAGGGAUGACGGCCUUCGGGUUGUAAACCUCUUUCAGCAGGGACGAAGCGUAAGUGACGGUACCUGCAGAAGAAGCACCGGCUAACUACGUGCCAGCAGCCGCGGUAAUACGUAGGGUGCGAGCGUUGUCCGGAAUUACUGGGCGUAAAGAGCUCGUAGGCGGUUUGUCACGUCGUCUGUGAAAUCCUAGGGCUUAACCCUGGACGUGCAGGCGAUACGGGCUGACUUGAGUACUACAGGGGAGACUGGAAUUUCUGGUGUAGCGGUGGAAUGCACAGAUAUCAGGAAGAACACCGAUGGCGAAGGCAGGUCUCUGGGUAGUAACUGACGCUGAGGAGCGAAAGCAUGGGUAGCGAACAGGAUUAGAUACCCUGGUAGUCCAUGCCGUAAACGGUGGGCGCUAGGUGUGGGGUUCCUUCCACGGGCUCCGCGCCGUAGCUAACGCAUUAAGCGCCCCGCCUGGGGAGUACGGCCGCAAGGCUAA
RNAcentral lists this ribosomal RNA (840 nucleotides) under uncultured bacterium. RNAcentral's name for it is "bacterial SSU rRNA". It matches the Rfam family "Bacterial small subunit ribosomal RNA", at positions 46 to 897 of the family's 1533-position model. The record is from RNAcentral.